Molecule: ribosomal RNA, 627 nt
Filed under: Triticum aestivum (bread wheat)
Lineage: Eukaryota; Viridiplantae; Streptophyta; Magnoliopsida; Poales; Poaceae
Description: partial small subunit ribosomal RNA
Source: RNAcentral
UUGUAUCAGAGUGGUCAUUUGAUUUUGGUUCAAGCUGUGCUCUCGGCCAUGCCAAUCUUUCAUCUCAUGUCUUUGGAUCAGGCGCCGUGGGUGUUCAAGGCCACCGAUAAAAUCAAGAGAGGAUUUCUAUGGAAGGGGACCGAGACGGCGAAUGGUGUACAUUGCUUGGUUAGAUGGAAGCAAGUUUGCAGAUCAAAGAAGUAUGGUGGUCUUGGCAUUCUGGACCUGAAGAUUAUGAAUUCUGCACUCAAACUAAAAUGGGCAUUGAAGGUUCGUACAACUACAGACUGUUCUUGGAGCAUCAUGUUGAACCCAUUGGAGAGCCAUGAAAGGCAGCUCUUCAAUGCCGCGGCAAAGGUGGAACUAGGAAAUGGGGAGCGAUGUUCUUUUUGGACGGAUAGGUGGAUUCAAGGUGCUACAGUUACAUACAUUGCUCCAGAUUUAGUUAUUGCCAUUCCUGAGGUUGUCAGAGAUAGAAGAACCGUCAUGGAUGCUAUGAUAGAUGGAGCUUGGAUUAGAGACAUAAACGAGCAAAUACCUAUCCGCACCUUCCAUCAGGUGUUAGCCUUGUGGGGGGUCGUCACUAAUAUCCAACUCGAUUCCGGUGGGGCCGAUAAGUGGACGUGA